Long non-coding RNA from Drosophila montana, 1457 nucleotides. RefSeq lists it as uncharacterized. NCBI's taxonomy places the organism in Eukaryota, Metazoa, Arthropoda, Insecta, Diptera, Drosophilidae. The transcript has 3 exons. The record is from RefSeq and is a predicted model, not a curated record.
CAACGACGAUGCCGACGACGACAAUGACGACGCUGACGUUGGCGCUGGGCUCUGCCCGGCAGGCGAGUGCCUGCUGAAAGUCGUCGGAGCGUUGCGGCCAAGCAGUCUCAAAGCGUACGCCGUUAACAACAGACACAGCGGACAUAUUCAUUCACGCAGACGGACGGGGUGUGUUGGCGUCGUGCGUGGCGCAGUUCUUGAAAGUUAUCAAAUUCCCGUUGCGUUUACCGUUACAGUGCAAAUGUAAAACAAAGCAACCAAUAAAAAAAGCGGCCACUAGGUCAAACCACAACAGAAAAGUAGAAAAAAGAAAGUCAAAUAAAUUAAACUAAACAAAGUGCAGUGGAGUGCCAACGCCAGCAGGCCAGGAUUUGCCUUUGAAAGUGCUGAAAAAGUCGCGUUCUAACGAUAAACGGUAGACGGUACGCGAUUUGCCGGCCAACAGCGAGCACGUCGUAAAUUUGCGACAAACUUGCUUCGUUAAUGCAUUUAGCACGUGAAUUCCAAGCCCGCAAAUUGAGCUAACCACGCUGCGACAACAACAACAACAACAACAGCAACGACAAGAUGGAACAUGUGUAAAUGCUAACGAGCGUGUAAGUGCAGCCAGUGUUGGUGAGGGGCAGCAGCAAACGUUGACAAGUGUAACGCAAUUUGAUUGAUUUUGAUUGACAUGGCACUCAGCAGCUGUGGCCACCCAGAAGCAGUCAAGUGAAAUACAAGUGGAAAACAGCAAAACGAAAAGAAAACUAAAAAAAAAGAUAUACCAUAUAUCUGAGCAGAGUUUUUUAGGUUUACGAAAAGAUCUGCAGCAGUAAAAACUGAAAUACUUUCAAUUAAAAUCAAACACAGUCAAACACAUCGACGAAGAGAAUUCCUGAGUGCGAAAAACAAAAACCAAUAAAAUCCAAGCUCAUAUAAAAAGGAAGAUUGCAAUAAUAAAAGAUAUAUACUAUAUACAUAUAUAUAAAAAGUUGGGCGCCGGCUAAUCAACUGCUGCGCACAACAAAAGCGUCCAGCGAAGCAACUUUUUCUUCUGAGUUUUUCCGUUUUCCCUUUUUUGCGGCGGCUGUCGCUCACUUUUUUUUUGUCCAUUGCCUGCCAUCAUUUUCCGCAUGUGCUGUGCAGUGUGUGGGUGUGUGUGAGUGUGUGUGUGUGUGGGUGACUGUGUGGGUGCUGCCACAUAAAAAGGAUAUAAUAUUGCCGCAUUGAUUUUCUCCCAUCGCAAAUGUGACAUCAACAAAGCGGUUCAACAGCAGCAGCAGCAACAACAACAACAACAACUUUAACAACAACUUUAACGACAACUCUAACAACCACAUCGUCUAAAAGUUCAGAGCGCAUCGAAAGUUUUGGACACUCAUUUUGCUGGUCUCCGGGUUACAGAGGACGACUAAGCCGAGUCUGAUUAAACCGAUAAAGCUCUUGUUGAUUCAAACUACAACAGAAUUUAAGAG